Molecule: long non-coding RNA, 970 nt
Organism: Populus nigra (black poplar)
Lineage: Eukaryota; Viridiplantae; Streptophyta; Magnoliopsida; Malpighiales; Salicaceae
Exons: 2
Source: RefSeq, a predicted model, not a curated record
CAACGAAUGAUGUAAAAUUGCUAACAGAGAAAAAACCUAAUUAAAGAAAAAGCAAUUUGAAUCGCGAAGAGCAGAGAAUUAGAAGAUUCUUGAUCACUGUUUUAAAUCUAGGAGAUAAGUGUCGGAGUCAAUUAGAGCCAGAACGAGGUUUUAUUUAGUGAUUGAUUACUUAUUCGCAGAUUUGAAAGAUAUACUGCAACUUCAACAUUGUAUCUCGGCUGUUGUUGGUUUAGGAUUGUUUCGAUGAUUCUUUGGUAUUUUGAGUAUGCUAAUUUUAACAGCACCGGAAUGGGGCCAUUUCUGCUUUUAAUGUUUUCUAGUCUUGUUGCUAUCCUGCUUAUUAUUUUUUAUCAUGCAAGUUUUUCCAUUUCUGUUUCGUGUCGUUUCAACUUUCAGGAACUUAAAUAAAUUAAUUUCAUCCUGGUGAAAAGAAGUGCUGUUAAGUUGGAUAUCUAUAGGAAGUUCUCAAAUGCAUUGGCUGCUGUAGUGUUUGCUUCUGUUGCUUGGAUAGCAUAUGAGGUAUCAUUUCUGGAUUCUUCGUUUUAAGGUGUGCUCCUUGGCAUUCAAAUAUUAAUAUAACUAGCUGUUAAAAGAUUGGUUGAGAGAGGAAGAUAAAUGAUAAUGAAAAAUACAAACAGUUCUUUAAAGGGUCUGACAGGGGAAUUUAGAUAAUUGGAAGAGGCUCUCUGUUUGCAAAAAUACAGGCAGUUCUUUCAAGGGUCUGCACACGGGAUUUAGAUAUCUGGAAGGGGGUCUGAACUUCCAUACUGGCAUACUAUGGGAGGUUUCGUCGAGGGUGAGGAUGCAGACCUCUGGUUCAGUAAAUGGGAGACAAAAAGAAUAAGCUUUGAACUUUAUCUGAAUUUUGCAAGUUUUUAAAUCAAUUUGGCUUUUUUCAGUGCUAUAUCACUGUUAUUUUCUUUGAGCAGCAGUGUGCAACUAAUAGAGCUGAAUUAUCUUUUAGGUUUUA